AUAGGGUUUCUUAAUGCUCAAUCUCUGGUUUUGAGUGGGGCUCUUAAUGUUCAAUCUCUGGUGUUGUUGUUUUUUCAUUUUUUGUUUGUUUUUCUUAGACUGAUGACUUUUGAUUGCCCCUUUAUUGAUCUCCUGAUCAAAUGUUUUAUAUUCAAAUAAUUUGAGAGUUUCCCAUAGCAAAGCUUGGACCUUGCAAUACAUAUCAAAAUGUGGAGCGGGUAUAAUUGAUUGAUUGGUUUUACCUAAUGUUCAGUGGCAAACAUUUCAUUCAUAAGGACGAGAUGGGUAUGAUUUUGUGAGCUCUUAUCAUACCGUUGUUUUUCAAAACCCCUUUAGUCUUUAGAUAUACCUUGUAUCUAAGCACUUUUAACGCCUCAUCGUUUUCGCCUUGUGCUUUCUUAGAGAAAAUUUAAAAUCCAGACCGGAAGCACUUAAAUCUCGAUAAAAUUGUGGUCCCUUUUUAUUCCUUUCAAACGACAAUAAUUUAAUACAUAUUUUCGCCUUGGUUUGAUAUAGAUUUGAUAUGAAAUCAUUGAUUUUCCGAAAGUGUGAUUUUAAAACUGAUAAUCCCACAGUCCACCAAUAAACUGUCAUACAAGAUAGCCUUAGACAACUAUGGGUGAUAACACAGAUAACGAGGAGGAAGGGUGCAUUGUUUUAUGUCAUUGUAAUGCAAUCUAACGAUAAAGUCAAAUACCUCACGAAUGAUUAACUCCUCUUAAUAACAAGGAUGUGGCUAUUACUACUGAACACAGUGUUUGUAUCGAUUGGUCCUCUGUUUAGCAUACCAACUUCUCCUACAAGUCUUACACACUGUGAGAAGAUAGCAGACCAUGCUCCUGGAAUUAUAUCAAAGGUAACCCUCUUUGAUAUAAAACUAUCGACAUACAAUACAGCUGUUGGUACCGUCGCCAAAGUAAGUUGUCUGGAUGAUGCAUUGGUUGUGAAUGGGGCCGAUACUCUAACAUGUCUUCCAAAUGGCCGAUGGAGCAGUGCCAAACCAAAAU
This is a long non-coding RNA of Mytilus californianus (California mussel), 1007 nucleotides long. RefSeq lists it as uncharacterized. The record is from RefSeq and is a predicted model, not a curated record. The transcript has 3 exons. Lineage: Eukaryota; Metazoa; Mollusca; Bivalvia; Mytilida; Mytilidae.